RNAcentral lists this ribosomal RNA (469 nucleotides) under uncultured bacterium. RNAcentral describes it as "partial 16S ribosomal RNA". It matches the Rfam family "Bacterial small subunit ribosomal RNA", at positions 28 to 508 of the family's 1533-position model. The record is from RNAcentral.
GACGAACGCUGGCGGCGUGCUUAACACAUGCAAGUCGAACGGAAAGGCCCUGCUUUUGUGGGGUGCUCGAGUGGCGAACGGGUGAGUAACACGUGAGUAACCUGCCCUUGACUUUGGGAUAACUUCAGGAAACUGGGGCUAAUACCGGAUAGGAGCUCCUGCUGCAUGGUGGGGGUUGGAAAGUUUCGGCGGUUGGGGAUGGACUCGCGGCUUAUCAGCUUGUUGGUGGGGUAGUGGCUUACCAAGGCUUUGACGGGUAGCCGGCCUGAGAGGGUGACCGGCCACAUUGGGACUGAGAUACGGCCCAGACCCCUACGGGAGGCAGCAGUGGGGAAUAUUGCACAAUGGGCGGAAGCCUGAUGCAGCAACGCCGCGUGCGGGAUGACGGCCUUCGGGUUGUAAACCGCUUUCGCCUGUGACGAAGCGUGAGUGACGGUAAUGGGUAAAGAAGCACCGGCUAACUACGUGC